This is a long non-coding RNA of Octodon degus (degu), 670 nucleotides long. RefSeq lists it as uncharacterized. Lineage: Eukaryota; Metazoa; Chordata; Mammalia; Rodentia; Octodontidae. The record is from RefSeq and is a predicted model, not a curated record. The transcript has 3 exons.
GAGCAUUGCUCUUCUGGGUCCUUGCGGUCCUGCCUUCGCACCACCUGGCUUUAUGAGGAUAGACUCCUGCGAGGAGCCUUAUCAGACCCCUGGCCUUCAGCUGGGGAUCCAGGGAGUCGACACCCACAAAUCUCCUCCCAUCCCUGACCCCAGGGCCUGCGUCCAGCGUCUGGCCCGGCCUCUGUAUCCGUGUGAGGAAAGAACACCCACCUGAGGCUCUGCCUGCGCCCUGGCAUUGAUGGUGUUGUGUAACACAGUGACUGGAUGGGGCUGGACCGGCCCCACAGUGCCCCACAGCCAAGCUUUUGAAGGGAUGACAGUGCUGGGUCUGGGGGCUACAGGGAAGACUGAAGUCCCCCAGCUCCUCCUCCUGUGAGGCUCUCCUCACAGCACCAUGUCUGGGACCAGAGAUGCACUAAACUGGCCUGGUACUGGCUGCAGAAGGCCUGUCUGAGGAUUGUCGCCGGCAGCAUAAAAGGAGAAGUGGAGGCGAAGAUGGUGCUGUGGGUUCUACUGGAGCAGCUUGUCGCGCUGGCUCUCCUGAUCUGCACUCAGCUGUUCUCAUCUUCGGAGGAACUUGGGUCCUCACUGUCGCUGGGGAUGGCAUGGUUCUUUCCGGGGAAGCUCUGGGCCUUCCCUUGAGCAUCGCUUCCCAGCUCCCGUGCAGAUC